UAUGAACGCUGGCGGCGUGCUUAACACAUGCAAGUCGAACGAAGAGGGUUAGAAUGAGAGCUUCGGCAGGAUUUCUUUCCAUCUUAGUGGCGGACGGGUGAGUAACGUGUGGGCAACCUGCCCUGUACUGGGGAAUAAUCAUUGGAAACGAUGACUAAUACCGCAUGUGAUCCUCGGAAGGCAUCUUCUGAGGAAGAAAGGAUUUAUUCGGUACAGGAUGGGCCCGCAUCUGAUUAGCUAGUUGGUGAGAUAACAGCCCACCAAGGCGACGAUCAGUAGCCGGUCUGAGAGGGUGAACGGCCACAUUGGGACUGAGAUACGGCCCAG
RNAcentral lists this ribosomal RNA (327 nucleotides) under uncultured bacterium. RNAcentral's name for it is "bacterial SSU rRNA". It matches the Rfam family "Bacterial small subunit ribosomal RNA", at positions 29 to 334 of the family's 1533-position model. The record is from RNAcentral.